UUUUACCAUCGGAAUUCAUUCUGCCGCGAUCUCUCGUCGCCUUACCGCAGCAUCACGAUGUCGCUCCGGCGCCUCCUAGGCCUUUCCGCCGCCAUCUCCGGCCGCCUAAGCCGCUCCCUGUCCACCUCCAUGGGUGCCUACUCCCGUCCUCCCUGGAUCUUGUUCGACCAGGUGACGCUGACCACCCGGUCGGCAGCACUGGGCGCGUCCGUGCGCAUCGUCGAGCCCCCGCGCUUCUCCGCCCUCACCGUGCCUGCGCUCCUAGUCGACGCCGGCGCCGGCCCCGACCCCGACAGCGACGUCACGCAACUCCUCAUCGGCCGCGUCUGCUCCACCAGCGCCGACGGCCUCCUCUUCCUCAUCGUCUACGAUCUCCACGCCACGGCCCCCAUCCUCGCCAAGCAAGGUGCCAACCAUGUGCGCCAGCUGACCGGCCUCGACCCCGGGCACACCCCAGACAUCACGCGCUUCCUCUGCAACCCUCUCACCGGCCAACUGACCCGCCUCCCGGCGAUCGGCGCCGGCCAGGAGAAGUUCGGGUGCGGCCCUCACAUGGGCGUCCUCACCCAAGCCGGUCGCGCGCACGGGGAUCCCGGCAGGCUCGCCGUCGCCGAGCUGCAGGGGAACAUGAUGCUCCUCUUUCUCUCGGACACAGCAGAGUGGGAGGUCGCGGUCACCGCGCCGUGGCAACUCCCGCUCGCUCGGCGGUUUUACUCCGAGACGGGCCGGACUGACCAAGAAGCGUUCGCCUUCGGCGGACGGCUGUGGUGGGCUGACCUGAGCUGGGGUGUCAUCUCGGCCGACCCGUUCAGCGACCGGCCGGAGCCCCACUUCGUCGAGCUGCCGAGGGGCAGCGUGGUGCCAGCACGCCCAGAGCGGGCGGCAGGGUGGCUUGACCUGGAGGGCAUGAAGGCCGUGUCCAGAGCUGCACUGGGCAGGUACCGGCGCAUGGGGGUCAGCGAGGGAAGGGUGCGCUACGCCGAGGUGUGGGAGCGUGAGCCGUUCGUACUCAGCUCCUUUGCGCUGGACGACGAGGGCGGCGGCUGGACGCUGGAGCACCGCAUGGCGCUCAGCCGGCUCUGGGCGGGUGGAGACUACCCGUGGCUGCCCUUGCCGGAGAAGACGACGCCACAAAUUGGCGCCCUUGACCCACUGAACGGCAACGUCAUCUACCUCACGGUCGGCAUGCACAUCAUCGGCGUGGACAUGAGCAAGGAGGAGGUGAUUGGGAGCUCUCUGCACAAUGGCUCCACGUUCUGUGUAUCAUGCGUUCUUCCACCCUCGCUUGAAUCGACCCGGAUCUAUGCCGCAGGUAAUCGAUUC
This 1323-nucleotide ribosomal RNA is filed under the name Triticum aestivum (bread wheat). RNAcentral describes it as "partial small subunit ribosomal RNA". The record is from RNAcentral. Lineage: Eukaryota; Viridiplantae; Streptophyta; Magnoliopsida; Poales; Poaceae.